This 827-nucleotide ribosomal RNA is filed under the name uncultured Chloroflexota bacterium. RNAcentral describes it as "bacterial SSU rRNA". It matches the Rfam family "Bacterial small subunit ribosomal RNA", at positions 9 to 870 of the family's 1533-position model. The record is from RNAcentral. Lineage: Bacteria; Bacillati; Chloroflexota.
AAGUUUGAUUAUGGCUCAGGAUGAACGCUGGCGGCGUGCUUAACACAUGCAAGUCGAACGACACAUCUUUCGGGAUGUGUUAGUGGCAGACGGGUGCGUAACACGUAGGUGACCUGCCCAAAGUGGGGAAUAAUCCCGCUAACGCGGGACUAAUACCGCAUGUGCUCGGCCAUUCGGUGGUCGAGUAAAGCCGAAAGGCGCUUUGGGAUGGGCCUGCGGCGGAUUAGCUAGUUGGUAGGUAAUGGCCUACCAAGGCUAUGAUCCGUAGGGGGCGUGAGAGCGUGGCCCCCCACACUGCACUGAGACACGGGCCAGACUCCUACGGGAGGCAGCAGUGAGGAAUAUUGCACAAUGGCGAAAGCCUGAUGCAGCAACGCCGCGUGAGGGACGAAGGCCUUCGGGUUGUAAACCUCUUUCUGGGGAAAGAGACAGGACGGUACCUCAGGAAUAAGUCUCGGCUAACUACGUGCCAGAGCCGCGGUAAAACGUAGGAGGCGAGCGUUAUCCGGAUUUACUGGGCGUAAAGCGCACGAGGCGGCUCUGUUAGUCGGACGUGAAAGCUCCUGGCUUAACUGGGAGAGGCCGUUCGAUCUGCAGGGCUUGAGGUUGGGAGAGGGGUGUGGAAUUCCCGGUGUAGCGGUGGAAUGCGUGAUAUCGGGAGGAACACCUGUGGCGAAGGCGGCACCCUGGCCCCACACCUGACGCUGAGUGCGAAAGCGUGGGGAGCAAACAGGAUUAGAUACCCUGGUAGUCCACGCUGUAAACGAUUCAACUAGGUGUCGGUGGUUUUAUACUAUCGGUGCCGAAGCUAACGCGUUAAGUUGACC